AGGACUUCCCAAGAGUGUCCCAUGGAACCUGAGUUCUAAGGACGGUACAUGAAAAAAAUCAACAUGGGUUCCAUGAUCAAAGAAGUUUGGGAAAUGGGCUAAAUGAAAGGACUUCCAAGGCCUUUUAUCUGCUAAUGAGAAAGAACAAGCCCUGUGAAAAACAAGCUGCUGUCCCUGCUAGAGGCAUCCUGCAAUCCAUGGAUGUUUAUCACCAAGCCAUUGUUAACAUGAGGGUCCAUGGAGGCUAACGGACAAAAAUAUUCUCCAGGAGGUCAGAGCCAAGAGACAGAGGAAAAUGAGGAAGAAAGUUCCUUGCAGAGGACAGACCCAGGGUCUAUCAAAACAUUUUCUUCUAGGGUUUGGGGAUCUUUGCAAUACCUACCCUACAGGAUUCCAUUAUUGCUCUGGACCAGGGAAUUCUUUAGGCAUUUUUAGUGUGGUUAGCCAGUCCACUUUUGUGUAUUGAAUAGGCAGAUGGAGCAAAGAUAACUGGUCUUUUAGUUCAAAGGAUGCUGAACUUCAAGGAACUGUAUCUGGACUUUCAGAAGAGGCCAGAGCAUCAUUUGGAGAUCCUCGACUUUGAUAUCAACAAGUAGACAAUUCAAUAAGUGGACAAAAUUUUGGGUUUUCUCCCCAGAGUAAUAUGCACGUAUGUUUUAUGUAAAGGAUGAUAGCAGCAAAAGGGGCUAACUGUGAUAGAGGUUGCUAGCUACCUACUAAAAAUCCAUUCUCCCCUUCUUACUGGCACAGAGCUAAACUGCAUUACUCAGCCUCCCUCGCAGUGAAGUGGCCAAGUUUUCUUCAGUGAAACAUGAUUGCAGUGACACAUGUCACCUCUACGUUUGGCCCAUACAAACCUCACACUUAUCCCAAUAUGUUCUUUCUUUCUACUGGUUGAUUGGUGUGGCAAAGCUUUGUAUAACUUCUAGAUGCCACAUAUUGAGGAUGGCAGAGCUAUCCCCAAAUGGCUCUAUAGGGACCACUAAGUGACUGUGGAGGAGAGCUGACAUCAAUCCAAAUCCUAUUAUAAAAACUUUUUGUUUUUAA
Molecule: long non-coding RNA, 1047 nt
Organism: Homo sapiens (human)
Lineage: Eukaryota; Metazoa; Chordata; Mammalia; Primates; Hominidae
Gene: HISLA
Product: HIF1A stabilizing long noncoding RNA
Source: Ensembl